GACGAAGGAUGCAAGCGUUAUCCGGAUUCAUUGGGUUUAAAGGGUGCGUAGGCGGGCUUGUAAGUCAGUGGUGAAAUCUCUUCGCUUAACGAAGAAACUGCCAUUGAUACUGCAGGCCUAGAGUAUAGAUGACGUUGGCGGAAUAUGACAUGUAGUGGUGAAAUACUUAGAUAUGUCAUAGAACACCGAUUGCGAAGGCAGCUAACGAAACUAUAACUGACGCUGAGGCACGAAAGUGCGGGGAUCAAACAGG
This 253-nucleotide ribosomal RNA is filed under the name uncultured bacterium. Its description in RNAcentral is "partial 16S ribosomal RNA". It matches the Rfam family "Bacterial small subunit ribosomal RNA", at positions 524 to 776 of the family's 1533-position model. The record is from RNAcentral.